Molecule: ribosomal RNA, 253 nt
Filed under: uncultured bacterium
Lineage: Bacteria
Description: partial 16S ribosomal RNA
Rfam family: Bacterial small subunit ribosomal RNA
Source: RNAcentral
UACGAAGGGGGCUAGCGUUGUUCGGAAUUACUGGGCGUAAAGCGCGCGCAGGCGGUUCUUCAAGUCAGAGGUGAAAGCCCAGAGCUCAACUCUGGAAUGGCCUUUGAGACUAGAGAACUAGGGUACGGGAGAGGUGAGUGGAAUUCCGAGUGUAGAGGUGAAAUUCGUAGAUAUUCGGAAGAACACCAGUGGCGAAGGCGGCUCACUGGCCCGUUACCGACGCUAAGGCGCGACAGCGUGGGGAGCAAACAGG